Alosa sapidissima (American shad) is the source of this 184-nucleotide long non-coding RNA. RefSeq lists it as uncharacterized. NCBI's taxonomy places the organism in Eukaryota, Metazoa, Chordata, Actinopteri, Clupeiformes, Clupeidae. The transcript is spliced from 3 exons. The record is from RefSeq and is a predicted model, not a curated record.
UAAAUUAAUUUAUCCACUGUAUAAGUAUUGUAAGGCCCGUCUUUUGCCCAAACCUUAUGCAUUUCUAAAGAAUGCCUUUUGCAUUCAAUUUACAUGUGUGGAUCCCUGUGUUUGAUCUGUAUUGUCUUAGCUGGCCAUGGCCAAAGAUCCCCAACACCCGCUCAUGCAUAAAGUGACCAUUUGC